This 952-nucleotide long non-coding RNA is filed under the name Pogona vitticeps (central bearded dragon). Its description in RNAcentral is "lncRNA (ENSPVIG00000004068.1)". The record is from RNAcentral. Lineage: Eukaryota; Metazoa; Chordata; Lepidosauria; Squamata; Agamidae.
AAAAGGUGGAGAAACGGUGUCAUCUAUUUAAAGUGGCCACCCUACCAAGGAGUCACGAGACUGUCCCAGGAUUGACCCCCAUGUGUGCGUUCAUGCACGCGUGCUAGCAGCCCAACCUGAAGGGAGCCACAUUGAAUGCUGGGCCUCAUUUCAAAAAACAUCCCUGGCAGCAAUCGCUUGGAGACGCCUGGUUCUCUUCUAGCACAGGUCUGUCUGCCUGCGAUUAGUCUAGCGAAAACAAAAUCCUUCCUGGCCUUCUGAAAAUACAAGAGAUUCUGCUGGUCCCACCCAUGCACCUCUUCCCUUCUGCAUGGCAUUGCCCUGACAUUGUAAAUUUAGAGAUGACGUCAAGGGUGCAAAACAUCAUCAGGGGAUAAUGGUCUCCUGCUGCUUGCCAAAUGUCAAGGUGAAGUCAAUGAAGUCAUUAAGGCUUGCAAAGGGUGGGUGGGGUUGGUUUCCCCACCUGGUUUCUCUCCUAAGCCUCCUGACGGAUCAGCUUUUGUGAGCCCAGGGGAACGUGUUGGCUGCUGCUGAAGGAUGAUGUUCCUAUUGACUCUUCCCCCACACACACACACACCAAGUACAUUUGGGAAGAGUAGCAACACAUGGUAAGCGUUGGGAAUGAACAAUCCGUCCAGCUUCGCACAUUUCUCUUUUCCUCCAGCUGGGAAAUGGGCCUCAUCCAGAAAUGAGAGAAGAAGAAGAAGAAGGAAAAGCCAGGAGUCAGUACUUGAAAAAAAAAGUUACUUGUUAAGACUACAACUCCCAGAUUCUGGGAUUUGUAGCCUGGGGGAAAAAAAAGGGCCUGUGUGAAGGACCUAGCCUGGGUCACCCUUCAAACCAGAUGAGGAUGUUAGCUCCACUCUGUCACUCAAGUGAGUACAGCCAGAAUAACAGUGAGUACAGCCAGAAUAACAGUGAGAGGAAAGUCUGAAGUGGGAAUUUGCAAACC